Long non-coding RNA from Betta splendens (Siamese fighting fish), 2084 nucleotides. Lineage: Eukaryota; Metazoa; Chordata; Actinopteri; Anabantiformes; Osphronemidae. The record is from Ensembl.
UGCUUCCUGCCCUUUAUAAGCUAGAAAAAGGAUCUACGCAGGCUAGAUUCACUGGAACGGGAGGCAGCGUCUGAUCCCAUGGUCCAAACCAGCAGGUGGAGCUCAGAGCCACUGGCAACAGUGGGUUAGCAGCAGUUGAGUCAUAAGAAAUGCAAGGGUUCUGAACCAUCCAAUCAGACGCCAAGGCUGCCCUCUGAAACCAUGACAUCAGCGUGGCGACGCUUUGCUGUAAACAUGUCUCAUAUCUCCUCCCAAGGGACUUCUUUGUUAACGCGCUACCGUAAAUGUAUGUUUCUUUUCACCUCUCCAAGGAAGCCAGGGUGAAUGACUGCUGUCAGCAGCGGCGGCCGUCAGGGGAAAUGAUUAGUGCUACAAGCCUGUCACCUUUCUUCUCCACCCCUUGAGUAUUACCGUAAAGGAGUGAUGCCUUCAUCGCGACGCGCUCAUUUUUCAUGACGAAGGCACGGGGUCGGACUUGUGAAGGGGCGACCAGCGGAUGACAUCGUGCAGGUCCAUGGACAGCUGUCAGGCUGAGUCAGGUACCAGCCACAAGCCCAUCACAAACGGUGGUGGACAGAGAGCAACGAGCAAAGGGCCAGCGGAGACAUACAUUCUCAUGCGGUCGGAUCAGUGUUCACAGUCACAUUCUGUGCUAAGCUUGGCAUGCAAGCGAUAACAACAAGGACGCAGGAGUGAACUGUCAAGGGGAGGAGAGAAACUUUGGAUACACAAGAGACGAGUUCCGCCUGCUCCACCCCCAACAAUGGAACUCCUCUACCGACAGGGAAACGGUGGCACCUGGUCUCUUCAGAUAAUCUAUUUAUGGCUUUCACACUUCAUUAAACCCAAACUGAAAAGCUUGGCUCUUGAAUGUGUUUAUCAAAUGUCCCAGUGUUAUCAGUCACAGAUGCAAACAUGUGACUGCUGCGCACUGAUUACAGUUCACAAAGUAUUCUUAGAGCUGGAAAGAGAAGAAACUACUGAGAUGUGGAUGCCUUAUAAAGGCCCCGUUGUAAAUGCCCGAGCUGCUGCGUGUGCUACAACCUGCUCAUUGUGUGUGCGCCUCACGUUCGUGUGUCACUGAUCAUAACUUCUGGAGGAUUGUUUUUCCCUGGGGUCCGUUAUUUGCAUUUGAUGAUACAACAUUUGAACCUUGAAGCAACCUUCUAAAAACAAGUCGUAAGUUAAUUUACGAUAGGUGCUGUUGCAUACUAUUAACCGUGCCGAAAGGUUUUCCAUUGUGUGGUGAACCUUUAUUGUAGGAGACACAAAAGAUCAUUGAAUUUUCAGCCCAAACAUUUAAAAAAAAACUGAUUUGCGAAAUGUCAGCAGGUUCUUGUUUUGUCUUCUUGUUAAAAUAACGUCACGGAUCAAACGCCACAGGUUCCUGCUGUAACACCAGAACCACAGAGAAAUGUUGCUUUCAUGAACAAAUGAGAUAUUUCCUGUGGUCAGCGAUAUGAAGAUCAACACUAUGAAGUGGGGAAGAAAGAAUUGUAGUGAUUUUUUUUUUUUUACUACAACACUAGCAAUCCGCAUCCCGUAAUUAAUCCUUUUUGCUGAAACAGAGACUACGCGGUGAUUCCGCCGCUCAGGCUGAUCCCACACCAGUUUCCCAGGAGCAGUAAUUAAUCCAUAUAUGGACACGCACACCACGCACCACGCCCACAUCACCUCCUCGUCUGCGGGCCUGCUGCGGCCUGCGGUCGCCCUGCCCCGCUGCCCCGCUGCCAGGAAGUCCAGGAGCCCGGUCCCCGCCCCGCCCCGCCCCGCCCGGCCUCCUCCGCGCAUCCAUUGUUGGGCAAUAACAGUCCGCGACAUCGAAACGGCCUGAACCGAAACUUUUCCAGGGAACUAACUACCGAACGGACUUUUCUCCCCCACACACACGCCAACUCUGCGAUAUAUGCGUUUCAGGGGACGUUUGCUCUAAAGCAGCCAGUUUAGCGCAACUACACUGAGACCGUUGAGGGAAGGGAAGGGAGGAAAACUUGUGAGGGAAGGAAUUCGGAAACUCGUUCCUCCAUUUUGAACUUUUAAACUCCAGCUUUUCUGGUGGAUUGUUGUUGGUAAGUUUGUGACCC